CUAGAAAUAACAACAACAAAAACGACAAAUUUUGAGAGGGCGGUUCACAGCCCACACCACACUACCAACCCCUCUCAUUCGUAACGUAAUUUUGGUAAAACUUCCUAAGUGCCUUUGUUGUGUUUUGAUGUUCUGCCGGAGCAACAAAAUAAACAUUUCUUCAAUUUAGCAAGCGAUUUUCCUCUUUUUUAUUUUGUUGUUGUUUCCACUGUCUCCCCAGUUUAUGUAUAUCUGCCUCAACGAUUUAUAAAAAUAAUCAAAUAAAAGAAGACCAGGUUUGAAUAAUGGAGGUUUUGGCUCUUCCCUUGGACAUGGGAUACUUCGAAAAUCGAAUAAAAACGAAAAAAUAAACAAAAAGUUUGUGUGUUUUUUUUUUUGUUGUUUUUAUUCCUGGUCGUAAAUGCGCCUAUGUUGAGCCAAAGCAGAUUCUCCCUGGAGUCCUUUUGAUGACUAAAGAACCGUGUGUGUGUAUGUGCACUGUUCGUGAAUAGUGUAGAGUGCUAUGGAACUCGUUAAAUUAACUUUCAUCAUUCCAGAAAGUUGUUAUUUAUAGCCGCUUUGUUUUGGGCUCCACUUUGGACAAACAAAAAAUAAACAUAAGCAGACAUCAAUGAUGAGAGGUGAAAUGGUGGAAUUUACUAUCCGUUUGGGGGCCAUUAACGUGGCUAUUGGACCAAGAAGAAAAACAAUGGAGGGAAAGUUUUUUUUUGUGUGUGAAUUUUGCUAAUGGAAAGUGUUUAUUUUCAAAACAAAAUAAUUAAGUUUGCUUACGGUCAAGUUAAGUGAAUUCGAAGCAUGCGAAACGAAAAAUGUUCAAGUCUCCAAAGUCGACAACGAAAAUACUAACGAAAAAAAAUAUCAUCGAGUAUUCUGUCAAAGUCAAAAUAAAAAAAUUCAAAAUUAAUUUAAAAUCAACAGAAAAUAAUUUUUAAGGCAAGAAAUAAUUGAAUUAAAAGUGAAAAAAGCGUCAACACUGCUCUUGGAGUCAAGAAAAAUACAAAGGACAGUAAAAAAUCGGCAUAUAAAUACUAAAUAGUGUUUUACGAUUCAAAUGAACAAUGUUUCAUUACUUUGGAAUCUUUAACUAGUUUUCGGAGUUUUUUGAGAUACGUUUAUCAGUUUAUUUAGCGAUCUUGGGAUAUUCAAUAAAAUUUUAGAACUAAUCACAUGGGAUUUCUUUGCAAAUUAAGCAAAGAUCUACAUAAGUAGAGGACAAUCCCGGCACUCUUAUUCGCUGGUCUCAACAUACUACUAACUACUGAAAUCCAAAAGCUAAUAUCCCCCUGCAUUGACAAGAAUAAAUAGUGACAAAUGCUUGGAUGCUUAACGCUCAACAUACAAUUUGGGGUAGUUGCAAUAAUAGUGAAGGGAUAAGUAAAUUUGGCGCUAGUUAAAUAUGGCGUCGGAGUUCUGGGUUAGAUUUCCAGCCUCCACCACCUAAAACAAAGCCUCCAAGAGUAUCAAUGUAUUUAAAAGAUUUAGAUAAAGCUUUAUCUCAAUCUCAUGAUAAUUAACUCUAAGCUUGAGCUCCAAGUAUUGAGAUGGAGCAUUUGCAAUGAAACAAAACUCAAUCUCACUAUCUCAGUCUUUAAAAACCAUUUGUUUUCAAAAUGUUUUCUUCAAGUGCAGGUACUGUCUAUAACAACCCUUCAAAAAUAAAAUGGAUGGC
Episyrphus balteatus (marmalade hoverfly) is the source of this 1669-nucleotide long non-coding RNA. RefSeq lists it as uncharacterized. NCBI's taxonomy places the organism in Eukaryota, Metazoa, Arthropoda, Insecta, Diptera, Syrphidae. The record is from RefSeq and is a predicted model, not a curated record. The transcript has 3 exons.